RNAcentral lists this transfer RNA (70 nucleotides) under Dipodomys ordii (Ord's kangaroo rat). It matches the Rfam family "tRNA". From Rfam's summary of the family: Transfer RNA (tRNA) molecules are approximately 80 nucleotides in length. Their secondary structure includes four short double-helical elements and three loops (D, anti-codon, and T loops). Further hydrogen bonds mediate the characteristic L-shaped molecular structure. tRNAs have two regions of fundamental functional importance: the anti-codon, which is responsible for specific mRNA codon recognition, and the 3' end, to which the tRNAs corresponding amino acid is attached (by aminoacyl-tRNA synthetases). tRNAs cope with the degeneracy of the genetic code in two manners: having more than one tRNA (with a specific anti-codon) for a particular amino acid; and 'wobble' base-pairing, i.e. permitting non-standard base-pairing at the 3rd anti-codon position. The record is from Rfam by way of RNAcentral. Lineage: Eukaryota; Metazoa; Chordata; Mammalia; Rodentia; Heteromyidae.
UGCAGUGUAGCUUAGUGGUAAAGUGCUGGUCUAGUAAGUGCAGUGUCCUGGGUUCGAUCCCCAGCACCAA